GACUCUUAGCGGUGGAUCACUCGGCUCGUGCGUCGAUGAAGAAUGCAGCUAGCUGCGAGAACUAAUGUGGAUUGCAGGACACAUUGAUCAUCGACACUUCGAAUCAAACAUCGACACAAACACGCAGAGUUGUAAAUGUGAACAGGUGGAU
This 151-nucleotide ribosomal RNA is filed under the name Sinocyclocheilus grahami. RNAcentral describes it as "5.8S ribosomal RNA (ENSSGRG00000050282.1)". It matches the Rfam family "5.8S ribosomal RNA". Rfam says of the family: 5.8S ribosomal RNA (5.8S rRNA) is a component of the large subunit of the eukaryotic ribosome. It is transcribed by RNA polymerase I as part of the 45S precursor that also contains 18S and 28S rRNA. The record is from Rfam by way of RNAcentral. Lineage: Eukaryota; Metazoa; Chordata; Actinopteri; Cypriniformes; Cyprinidae.